Molecule: transfer RNA, 76 nt
Filed under: Candidatus Kerfeldbacteria bacterium RIFCSPHIGHO2_12_FULL_48_17
Lineage: Bacteria; Candidatus Kerfeldiibacteriota
Description: tRNA-Pro
Rfam family: tRNA
About the family: Transfer RNA (tRNA) molecules are approximately 80 nucleotides in length.
Source: RNAcentral
CGGGAUGUGGCGCAGCUGGUAGCGCGCGUCGUUCGGGACGACGAGGCCGUGGGUUCAAGUCCCACCAUCCCGACCA